This 253-nucleotide ribosomal RNA is filed under the name uncultured bacterium. RNAcentral's name for it is "partial 16S ribosomal RNA". It matches the Rfam family "Bacterial small subunit ribosomal RNA", at positions 524 to 776 of the family's 1533-position model. The record is from RNAcentral.
GACGAAGGGGGCUAGCGUUGUUCGGAAUUACUGGGCGUAAAGCGCGUGUAGGCGGUUAUCCAAGUCGGGUGUGAAAGCCUUGAGCUCAACUCAAGAAAUGCAUUCGGUACUGGGUGACUAGAGGACCGGAGAGGAUAGUGGAAUUCCCAGUGUAGUGGUGAAAUACGUAGAGAUUGGGAAGAACACCAGUGGCGAAGGCGGCUAUCUGGACGGUUUCUGACGCUAAGACGCGAAAGCGUGGGGAGCGAACAGG